This 412-nucleotide ribosomal RNA is filed under the name Cardinium endosymbiont of Bemisia tabaci. Its description in RNAcentral is "bacterial SSU rRNA". It matches the Rfam family "Bacterial small subunit ribosomal RNA", at positions 251 to 660 of the family's 1533-position model. The record is from RNAcentral. Lineage: Bacteria; Pseudomonadati; Bacteroidota; Cytophagia; Cytophagales; Amoebophilaceae.
GUUGUGAGCAUGGCUCACCAAGGCUACGAUGGGUAGGGGUUCUUAGUGGAAGAUCCCCCACACUGGCACUGAGAUACGGGCCAGACUCCUACGGGAGGCAGCAGUAGGGAAUAUUGGUCAAUGGGCGAAAGCCUGAACCAGCCAUGCCGCGUGCAGGAUGACAGCUCUCUGAGUUGUAAACUGCUUUUGUACAGGAGCAAAACAAUCCCUGCGGGGGUUCUUGAGAGUACUGUAAGAAUAAGCACCGGCUAAUUCCGUGCCAGCAGCCGCGGUAAUACGGAAGGUGCAAGCGUUAUCCGGUUUUAUUGGGUUUAAAGGGUGCGUAGGCGGCUUAUUAAGUCAGUUGUGAAAUCCUAGUGCUUAACGCUAGAACUGCAAUUGAUACUAUUAGGCUUGAGUUAAGAAUAGGUAA